Molecule: ribosomal RNA, 503 nt
Filed under: uncultured bacterium
Lineage: Bacteria
Description: partial 16S ribosomal RNA
Rfam family: Bacterial small subunit ribosomal RNA
Source: RNAcentral
AUUGAACGCUGGCGGCAGGCUUAACACAUGCAAGUCGAGCGGGGUGAUGGUGCUUGCACUAUCACUUAGCGGCGGACGGGUGAGUAAUGCUUAGGAAUCUGCCUAUUAGUGGGGGACAACAUCUCGAAAGGGAUGCUAAUACCGCAUACGUCCUACGGGAGAAAGCAGGGGAUCACUUGUGACCUUGCGCUAAUAGAUGAGCCUAAGUCGGAUUAGCUCUGUGGUGGGGUAAAGGCCUACCAAGGCGACGAUCUGUAGCGGGUCUGAGAGGAGGCUCGGACACACUGGGACUGAGACACGGCCCAGACUCCUACGGGAGGUAGAAGUGGGGAGUAUUGGACAAUGGGGGGAACCCUGAUCCAGCCAUGCCGCGUGUGUGAAGAAGGCCUUAUGGUUGUAAAGCACUUUAAGCGAGGAGGAGGCUCUUUUGGUCAAUACCCAAGAUGAGUGGACGUUACUCGCAGAAUAAGCACCGGCUAACUCUGUGCCAGCCGCCGCCGUAA